UACAGAGACUGCAAGCGUUAUUCGGAUUCACUGGGCGUAAAGGGUGCGCAGGUGGCUAAGUGUGUUAGGCGUGAAAGCCCGGGGCUUAACCCCGGAAUUGCACCUAAAACUACUUGGCUAGAGCAUUGGAGAGGGGAGCAGAAUUCAUGGUGUAGCAGUGAAAUGCGUAGAUAUCAUGAGGAAUACCAGAGGCGAAGGCGGCUCCCUGGACAAUUGCUGACACUCAGGCACGAAAGCGUGGGGAGCAAAAGGG
This 253-nucleotide ribosomal RNA is filed under the name uncultured bacterium. RNAcentral describes it as "partial 16S ribosomal RNA". It matches the Rfam family "Bacterial small subunit ribosomal RNA", at positions 524 to 776 of the family's 1533-position model. The record is from RNAcentral.